This 31-nucleotide non-coding RNA is filed under the name Mus musculus (house mouse). Lineage: Eukaryota; Metazoa; Chordata; Mammalia; Rodentia; Muridae. The record is from RNAcentral.
UGAAGAUAUUCUAAAGAGACACUUGUGCCCC